This is a long non-coding RNA of Ornithodoros turicata, 2819 nucleotides long. RefSeq lists it as uncharacterized. The record is from RefSeq and is a predicted model, not a curated record. Lineage: Eukaryota; Metazoa; Arthropoda; Arachnida; Ixodida; Argasidae. The transcript has 3 exons.
GGUAUCAUUCGUUGUGUUCGUACGCCUCGGCGGCGGUGGCUAUGAAUGUAGUGCCCUGGUCAGCGCAUGAAGACAUCGAUUGUUCUCAGUCGUCGGUUUCGCGCUGUCGUGGGUUGACGUGUGUGUGUGUUGUGCUUCUUGUUUCAUGCUAAUUACCACAUGGAGGUGGAACCCCUGUAGCUGACCAAAAAGGCCAGGACUGUCAGAUGCGAUAUAUGAAUUGGUUCAAGUUCUUCAAACAGAGCUGACCCAACAGAAGGCCUCUGGUGGCACACUGUAAUCAAGUGCGCCACUCCCACAGGAUUGGCCUUUUGCAUUCAUGUCUGAAUGCUGUCCAGGGCAUCCCACAGGCACCAGCUGCAUGACGAUGCCCCACCCCACGGAUUGUCUUAUGCCAACAGUGUGCUCCCGUAGGGAACUAUAGACACUAGAAGAUGGACUGUGGUCAUGCUAAGGAAUUCUUCAGUAGCUUCAUGGUGCACUAGAGAAGAAGCAGCAGACCUGGACGAAGUAAACAAACGGCCCUUGUCAGGGCCACCAUAUGUCUGCCAGAAUGGCUAGCGUUCUGCUGGUAGAAGAAACCCUGACGGUGAUAGAAGAUCACUGAACUAACCAUAACUCAAGCAUGAUGGCUACAACAGUGCUGAUAGAAAACAAUCAUUGCAGUUGCAAAUGCCAUACAUUUCACUAAGCACUGUAUUUUUGAUGACAGUAAUAUUUAGAGUUGAAGGAGUCAUGUUCUGCCACUUUUUGGAUGGUCAAAGUAUGCAUCACAGAACACAUUGCUAAGGUGAACAGUAUGUGGAACCGACUAUAACUCCUGUUAUUCAUUCGCACAGAAAAUAUGAAGCAGAAAAUGUCGAGGUUGUUGCGAGAGACCUGUACUAUGUCUGUUCUAUGUCUUUUGCAAAAGCUAUCACCGUUUCUCAACAAAAGUGAGGUGGAGAAUGUACUGGACGCCUCCAUUUUUCCCCUUUCUCUCCGUACUGUAAAGGUAGUUCUUUUUGUGUAGUCCAAUAAUACGAGAAUUUGAAAAAAGGUCUUUGGGUGUACUUGACAUAAUUGUGUGCCAGUCUAUAUCAUUGAACCCCCGUGGCACUGAGGACAAAACUUUACCUAGACAGUAUAUUUGGGUCCUAAGAACGCCAUUGGAGCCACAGGGCAUAUUGACUUUCGACCACAUCAUGCAGGGCCACAAGGAAAAGAAACGAUUGUAGUUACCAUAAAACUUUGGUAUAUCAUACAUAACAUUGUACACAAAAACAGGACCGACAUAGUUAUUGUGGAGCCGGAUAGUGGAUAACACCAAAAAUUAAUGGGCUUACUAGGCUAACGCCAAUAAAUGGGCGGCCUUCCAAAUAGAGUGCUGAUAGUAUGAAAAACUAUUCGACCUUCACAAAGGCUUAGGAGAAUGUUCAGUAGCACUCCGAAUUAUCCAUUUACUUACUGUAUUGCUGCCUUAGUUCACAGUUGGAAAAUAAGUAUAGAAAAUCAAAGAGAAAGAGCUAGCUGGCAUAUUCACAGUGGGUUAUGGCUUCGGGUUUGCUAUGUUGUGUUUAAUGAGAAGUGCAGAAAUUUGGGCCAGUUGGUACAUAACUGCAAAAGGGAACAAGAGCAUACAGAUGGGACAAUGGAGGGACAGAGCUGCUUACAACUAAACUAUAAUGGUAAGAAACCCGACGCAGUCAUGUGCGCAGGUGCACUGCUAUCCCACCAUGUCAAAACAACGAGUACAGUACUAGACAAAUGUUAGAGAACACGCUCCGGCGCAUUCCUUCCUCAGAGUGACAGCAAAUGGGACCGUACAGACUUAGACAUGCGCGUAUAGGUAGCCCAGUCACCUGUAUGCAAGUCCGUACGAUACCAUUCGCUGCCAGCUUGUCACUCGGAGGGAGGAGUGUGCCAGAGCAUGUUAAGCUUUUGUCCAGCACUUUACAAGUAUAAAACUGAUUAACAAUGUAGAGUGGGCUAGUUGGUAUGACAUCUUAGACUAUGGAGCUACGGCAGACAAGGACAAUACACCACUCCAUAAUCAACUGGUUUAUUUCUGGAAAAAGAGAAAAGGAAGGUUGAACGUUGGGAUUGGGGGUUUUGAGACAAACUGAUUAAAAAGGAACUUUACACCUAGUGGUGAUCUUUUCCUGCUGUCCUUGUCUGCCGUAGCUCCGUAGUCGAAGUCUGUACAAGUAUGUCAGAAAAGACCCUCAAAAUGACAUUUUUAGGCAUGUGCAAACAAAACCAUCGUAGUGAUAAGGGGUGACACAAGUGAAAAAAAUGCCUAUGAUUUGAAUAAAAAUUCAAGUUUCUUAUCCAUCAAACAAAUAGAAGCUUCAGUAGUACAACUGGAAGAGCCACUUCUUAUUUCAGCCACUUCGACUACCUCUCUUUCGAACUGACAGUUUGCUUUUCUUUUUGGCUGAGUUCUUUCAAAAGCCGGGUUUUAAUGUCACUAUUUGAUAUAGUAUAAGAAUUAGGAUGGACAGAAGAUCGACUCAAUCCUCGCAUUAGCUACGGUGUGCUAGUAUACCAUACCGCACGCGAAUACCAGGUUGCCGUGUCCGUAAUUUUGUGAGGUUCGAGAGCCACAAGAACUGCUCGCAUGCAGUGUAUUCUACCUAACUUGGACUGCGCAGCAGCAGUACUGGGGCCAGGCUGAAAACAAUGCCUGAAAAUCUGUUCUCCUAAUUCGUCUUUAAAUUUCGAGAGGGUAGCUUCGUUCUCUUUGAUGGCCAAGAGGCCGCGUGUUUGAGAUCCCUGUAGAUAGGGCAAUCGCUUUCGAAACUAAACAACAAGGAUCAGAAACAUAACGCUGUCCUAUU